ACCCAACUUUUUCUGGAAGAACCGUGCUGACUUCAAAAUAACCACAAUUUCAGAAGCUACAUAUAAACUUGUAUUUAUAGCCUCUUCAUUGAGAAGUGCCAGAAUACAAUUCCUCUUAACACACGCGUUGCAGUCAGAAGCCAUUUCCCUCGCCACUAACAUUUCUACGGCAAAUCACAUCAAAAUAAUCUCGGUGUUGUUAAGGUAUAAGUGCAGCGCACGCCGGCAAUUAAAGUUUUACCCUAAAACGGAGCCGAAGUUGCACAAUUUUUUUACGGUGCUUUACGAGCCCUGCGAGAAGUCCUUUCACCGCGCGCGGCACAUCCUAUGGCGCUUGGCACCAAACCAGUCCUGCGUGCGGUGACUCAUUUUUCUGACUGUCAAAACCAGAAAGAGAUAGCCAGGAACGAUGUUCUGGCGAGGAGGAAUAGCUGCGAGGAGCCGGCCCUGUAAUUCGGCAGCAAAUUUUUGAACAGAAGUGGAAACUCGGAAGAAAAGUCUGUGGACUGCCAGUACCACAACGGAGGCAAGAGCCGAUGAAAGCUUUGGGGCCUUCCGUGUGGGCGGCUACCCGUGAGGAGCAGCAGCACAUCCCUUAAUAUGAGAACCUGGUGUAUGGACACUGCUUCUGUUUGGACUGAAAACAGACUUCCCUGAGGGCUGUUACACCUUUAGCUGACACUAAUUUUAGUACAGCUCUGGGAUGCUGGCGGCCGGGGGAGAAGGACUGGAAGGGAAGAACGUGGAAGGAGAGCAGAGAUCUCAGAAAUAACCCAGCGCUCACAGGUUAAAUAAAAGAGACAACCGAAUUGAGGAGCAGCUUGGUGCUUUCACCUGGAGGAAGAGGGGGAGCAGGAGCUCAGCCCUUUCUGGACACCAGAGGACAACAGCCAUGUCCUGAUGGCCAGGAUGGCAUCAAUCAACUCUUGCCAUCAACCAACUCAGUCAACCAUGAGUCCGACAUGUGGGACAACCCUAGUUCCAUUCACUGCUGUAUUCUCUAAACCCUGUGCUCUCUUUCACCCUCUUCCAAAAUAAGAGCAAGGGUUAUUGAAGUCAAGUG
This is a long non-coding RNA of Cygnus atratus (black swan), 1063 nucleotides long. RefSeq lists it as uncharacterized. The record is from RefSeq and is a predicted model, not a curated record. NCBI's taxonomy places the organism in Eukaryota, Metazoa, Chordata, Aves, Anseriformes, Anatidae. The transcript is spliced from 4 exons.